Molecule: long non-coding RNA, 1444 nt
Organism: Condylostylus longicornis
Lineage: Eukaryota; Metazoa; Arthropoda; Insecta; Diptera; Dolichopodidae
Exons: 3
Source: RefSeq, a predicted model, not a curated record
UUUUCUUUUUCUUUCACCUUCUGCGUUCUCUUGAAUGCUGUUGUAUGUACCACAAACAAAAGAAAUUUUAUGUUUCAAUUUUUUAAAUAACUCAGUCGAGUAUUCAUUGAUAAAAGCUUCAAUUGGCGGAGUAACUCAAUUAAAAUUGUUGAAAAAAAUAAACAAAAAAAGUUUUCAAACAAAAUUUCAAAGAAAAAAAUAAAAGGAUUGUCCUUAAAUUUAAUUGUACUAAUAAAAAGACAAAAUGAAAACUACUUCCAUUGCAAAAUACGCAGUAAAAUUAAAUUUAAGUCAGAUGAUUGAAUUUUCAUCAAAUUCGGCCAACAAAUCAGACAAAUUGGUAAGUUAUUCAGCAGCUGCAUUGGCUGCGGCUGGUAUUGCAAUAUCAUCAGUCAGUUUGAAACAAAUGUUAUUAACGAGUAGUCCUAAAGUUGAGUGGCGGAAACAAUAAAAAAAUAGACAUCAAUGAUAUGUAUAUAUAAAUGUGGUCAUAAAAUUAUUAGCAUCAUAUUUAAUCUAGUAGUGACCUAAAUCCCUAUUUGGUUUACUUUUAUUUCAUUUAAGUAUUUUGUUUAUAUGUAAUUUAUUUUUAAUAAGUAACAAAAUAUUAGUUAAAAAUAUAACUAAUAUUUAAAAUAAAAGAAUCUUAGGAUGCUUAAAAACGCUAAUAAAUAGAAGGUUUGUAAUGAAUAUUGAUUAUAAAAUGUUUGACUAUCAAUCAAAUCGCAUAUUUAAUCAUUAUUAAAUUUUUAAACUGAAAUUUUUGUAAAAAUUUGAGUUCUUUUUUGUUACUUUUUCAGAUUAUUUAUAUAUUUUUAAAAUUUUAGCAAAUAAAAACGCGAUGUUGUUCGAAAAUGAAAAAUUAUGUCAAUCAUGCACAAUUUAAAAUUAUUAUUAUUAUGUUUCUGUUAGCAGGUAAGCUAAGAAAGGCUACCACAUUUCAUUUAGCAAAUUAGUAAUAGAAACAGAAUGUUUCUUAAACUUGUGUGAGUUAUAAAUUUUAUUUUCAAUAUUCAAAUUUUUCGAAAGCAUAAGUAAAUAUUUAUUGUGAAAGAACAUCACAAACUUUUUUUGGCGAUUAAAAUUCAUUAAAAAUUUAAACUUCUUUAAGAUCUAUGUACGUUUGAAAUUCAUGUUUUUCAAAAUUAUUUAGUUUAUUGUUUUGCACUAUUUACUCUCGAAUUAGAUAUUCAAGAAGAACAUUAUGGAUGUACGUAGUGCAAUACUUUUUCCUAAAAAAAUUUUUUAAAUAUUUUUAGUAAAAUGUUAUGAUGAGACUUGUAACAAGUUUGUGAUAAAAGUGUAGGUUUAUAAUUUAGUAGAAUGAAAAAUGAAAAAAAUAUUUAAAAAAAUUGUAAAAAUUUUCAAAGCGCAUAUAAAAAAAAAUUAAACGAUAUUACAUUUGGAAUCUAAAUUAAAAAUAAACAAAUUGUCAAAUAUCAAA